UCCGUAGGUGAACCUGCGGAAGGAUCAUUAACAGAAUCGGAUGGCGUGCUCGCGCGCCGCUCGUUCUCACCCCUGUGUCUACCUGUAAAUCGUGUGUUGCCUUGGCAGGCGGGUUGCGCUUGUGCAACCCACAGCCUGCCGGUGGACCCUGUAACACUUGUCAUCGUGUGCUGUCUGAGUAAAUAUACAUAAAUAGGUAAAAACUUUCAACAACGGAUCUCUUGGUUCUGGCAUCGAUGAAGAACGCAGCGAAAUGCGAUAAGUAAUGUGAAUUGCAGAAUUCAGUGAAUCAUCGAAUCUUUGAACGCACAUUGCGCCCUCUGGUAUUCCAGGGGGCAUGCCUGUUCGAGCGUCAUUAACACCCCUCACGCCCCCCGGGGCGUGGUCUUGGGCUCGCCCUGCUGUCUGGCCGGGCCUGCCUCAAAAUCAGUGGCGGCGUUCGUCGAACCCCCUAAGCGUAGUAACAAUCACGAUGCUUGCUGGGCGUUGGAUGGAGGCUUGCUGUGAACCCCCACCCCACACGAUGUUGACCUCGGAUCAGGUAGGGAUACCCGCUGAACUUAAGCAUAUCAAUAAGCGGAGGAAAAGAAACCAACAGGGAUUGCCUCAGUAACGGCGAGUGAAGCGGCAACAGCUCAAAUUUGAAAGCUGGCUCUGUUGCAGGGCCCGCGUUGUAAUUUGUAGAGGAUGCUUCGGGCGCGGCGCUGGUCUAAGUUCUUUGGAACAAGACGUCAUAGAGGGUGAGAAUCCCGUAUGUGACUAGCUUGCCUGUGCCUGUGUGAAGCUCCUUCGACGAGUCGAGUUGUUUGGGAAUGCAGCUCAAAAUGGGUGGUGUACUUCAUCUAAAGCUAAAUAUUGGCCAGAGAC
RNAcentral lists this ribosomal RNA (867 nucleotides) under Pachycudonia monticola. RNAcentral describes it as "eukaryotic LSU rRNA". The stretch from base 528 to 867 matches the Rfam family "Eukaryotic large subunit ribosomal RNA", at positions 1 to 334 of the family's 3401-position model. The record is from RNAcentral. Lineage: Eukaryota; Fungi; Ascomycota; Leotiomycetes; Rhytismatales; Cudoniaceae.